GAUGAACGCUGGCGGCGUGCUUAACACAUGCAAGUCGAACGAACCUUCGGGUUAGUGGCGGACGGGUGAGUAACGCGUGGGAAUCUGCCCUCAGGAGGGGGAUAACGGCUGGAAACGGCCGCUAAUACCCCAUAUGCCGCGAGGUGAAAUGAAUUUCGCCUGAGGAUGAGCCCGCGUCUGAUUAGCUAGUUGGUGGGGUAAAGGCCUACCAAGGCGACGAUCAGUAGCUGGUCUGAGAGGAUGAUCAGCCACACUGGGACUGAGACACGGCCCAGACUCCUACGGGAGGCAGCAGUGGGGAAUUUUCCGCAACGGGCGAAAGCCUGACGGAGCAACGCCGCGUGAGGGAUGAAGGCCUCUGGGCUGUAAACCUCUUUUCUCAAGGAAGAAGACCUGACGGUACUUGAGGAAUAAGCCACGGCUAAUUCCGUGCCAGCCGCCGCUGUAA
This 448-nucleotide ribosomal RNA is filed under the name uncultured bacterium. RNAcentral's name for it is "partial 16S ribosomal RNA". It matches the Rfam family "Bacterial small subunit ribosomal RNA", at positions 28 to 523 of the family's 1533-position model. The record is from RNAcentral.